UGGGGAAUAUUGGACAAUGGGCGAAAGCCUGAUCCAGCCAUGCCGCGUGAGUGAUGAAGGUCUUCGGAUCGUAAAGCUCUGUGGGAAGGGACGAAAAAAUCUAACCUAAUACGUUAGAGCUUGACGGUACCUUCUUAGCAAGCACCGGCUAACUCCGUGCCAGCAGCCGCGGUAAUACGGAGGGUGCAAACGUUGCUCGGAAUUAUUGGGCGUAAAGCGCACGUAGGCGGUCCGCUAAGUUGGAUGUGAAAGCCCUCGGCUUAACCGAGGAAGUGCAUCCAAAACUGGCGGGCUAGAGUACGGAAGAGGGUUUCGGAAUUCCCGGUGUAGAGGUGAAAUUCGUAGAUAUCGGGAGGAACACCAGUGGCGAAGGCGGAAACCUGGGCCGAUACUGACGCUGAGGUGCGAAAGCGUGGGGAGCAAACA
Molecule: ribosomal RNA, 426 nt
Filed under: uncultured bacterium
Lineage: Bacteria
Description: bacterial SSU rRNA
Rfam family: Bacterial small subunit ribosomal RNA
Source: RNAcentral